Non-coding RNA from Zonotrichia albicollis (white-throated sparrow), 705 nucleotides. Lineage: Eukaryota; Metazoa; Chordata; Aves; Passeriformes; Passerellidae. The record is from RefSeq and is a predicted model, not a curated record.
UUUGCCACGAAUCCUCCUGGAGGUUCCUCCCAAAGCUCGGUGGAACUCGUGUCAGGACUGGGGGAAUUUUGCUGUGAAUCCUCCUGGAGGUUCCUCUCAAAGCUCGGUGGAACUCGUGUCAGGACUGGGGGAAUUUUGCCGUGAAUCCUCCUGGAGGUUCCUGCCCAAAGCUUGGUGGAACUCGUGCCAGGACUGAGGGAAUUUUGCUGUGAAUCCUCCUGGAGAUUCCUGCCCAAAGCUCGGUGGAACUCGUGUCAGGAUUGGGGGAAUUUUGCCAUGAAUCCUCCUCGAGAUUCCUCCCAAAAGCUCGGUGGAACUCGUGUCAGGACUGAGGGAAUUUUACCAUGAAUCCUCCUGGAGGUUCCUCUCAAAGCUCGGUGGAACUCAUUCAGGACUGAGGGAAUUUUGCUGUGAAUCCUCCUGGAGGUUCCUCCCAAAAGCUCGGCAGAACUCGUGUCAGGACUGAGGGAAUUUUGCCAUGAAUCCUCCUGGAGGUUCCUCCCAAAGCUUGAUGGAACUCGUGUCAGGACUGAGGGAAUUUUGCUGUGAAUCCUCCUGGAGGUUCCUGCCCAAAGCUCGGUGGAACUCGUGUCAGGACUGAGGGAAUUUUACCAUGAAUCCUCCUGGAGGUUCCUGCCCAAAGCUCGGUGGAACUCAUUCAGGACUGAGGGAAUUUUGCUGUGAAUCCUCCUGGAGGUUCCUGCC